CUUCCUCUUCCUCUUGAAAGUAGUGUAUAUAUAGAGUUGCCUUGAUACACUGCCUCUUCCUACACCUCUUCAUCUUCCUCCUCCUCUUCGUCUUCCUCUUGAAAGUAGUGUAUAUAUAGAGGUGCCUUGAUACACUGCCUCUUCCUACACCUCUUCAUCUUCCUCCUCCUCUUGAAAGUAGUGUAUAUAUAGAGGUGCCUUGAUAUACUGCCUCUUCCCUACACCUCUUCAUCUUCCUCCUCCUCUUGAAAGUAGCGUAUAUAUAGAGGUGCCUUGAUACACUGCCUCUUCCUACACCUCUUCAUCUUCCUCUUCCUCUUGAAAGUAGUGUAUAUAUAGAGGUGCCUUGAUACACUGCCUCUUCCUACACCUCUUCAUCUUCCUCUUCCUCUUGAAAGUAGCGUAUAUAUAGAGGUGCCUUGAUACACUCCCUCUUCCCUACACCUCUUCAUCUUCCUCUUCCUCUUGAAAGUAGUGUAUAUAUAGAGGUGCCUUGAUACACUGCCUCUUCCUACACCUCUUCAUCUUCCUCCUCCUCUUGAAAGUAGUGUAUAUAUAGAGGUGCAUUGAUACACUGCCUCUUCCCUACACCUCUCCAUCUUCCUCCUCCUCUUCGUCCUCCUCUUAUGAGCGUAAUUAAUAAGGUGCCUUCGUGAUAAAUGCCUCUGCACCCAAUGCUUCUUCCUCUUCCUCCUCCGCUUCCUUCUUCUUCCUCUUCCUCUUUUUAUUCCUUCGCCUCCCUGACUGGCUUAUCCUGUGGUCUUAAAGGUAGCAUAUUGAGGUGCUUUGAGGCUACAACUUCAACAUUCCUCUUUUCUUUUUCCUUUUCCUACUUUUCCUCUUCCUCCUCCGCUUCUUUCUUCUUCCUCUUCCUCUUUUUAUUCCUUCGCCUCCCUGACUGGCUUAUCCUGUGGUCUAAAAGGUAGCAUAUUGAGGUGCUUUGAUGCUACAACUUCUACAUUCCUCUUUUCUUUUUCCUUUUCCUACUUUUCCUCUUCCUCCUCCGCUUCUUUCUUCUUCCUCUUCCUCUUUUUAUUCCUUCGCCUCCCUGACUGGCUUAUCCUGUGGUCUUAAAGGUAGCAUAUUUCUACAACUUCUACACUCUUCUCCUCUUUUCUUCUUCCUCUUCCUCUUAGAACUGCAAUAUCCAGUGGUAAAAAAGUAGCAUAUUGAGGUGAAUGAUAAUAUAUACACCUCUGCCUCUCUUCUUAAUCCUCUUCCUCCUUUUCCUCCUCCUCCUCAUCAUCAUCUUUUCCUCCAUUUACUUCUAUCCGUCAUUCUACUCCUUCCCGUUUUGCCAAUCACCAUUCCAAAACCAAUUACCUCAAAGGACCUUACUACUGAAAAAGAAACAAACAAAACAAGACGAACCUACCUCUAAUAACAACCUUGCAAAACAAUAAAAAAAAAAAAACCACCGAUAGCCAACCAAUGCGGAACCUUACCCCUCCUUCAUCACCUCCUUCAUCACCUCCUUCAUCACCCCCUUCAUCACCUCCUUCAUCACCUCCUUCAUCACCUGUCCGUCCUCCUUCCGUCCUCCUCCUUCUCCUUCCUCUUUUACCAAUCACCAUUCCAAAAACAAUUACCUCAAAGGACUUUACUACUGAAAAAAAAAAAAAAAGGAACACGA
Eriocheir sinensis (Chinese mitten crab) is the source of this 1633-nucleotide long non-coding RNA. RefSeq lists it as uncharacterized. NCBI's taxonomy places the organism in Eukaryota, Metazoa, Arthropoda, Malacostraca, Decapoda, Varunidae. The record is from RefSeq and is a predicted model, not a curated record. The transcript is spliced from 3 exons.